GGCUAAUGCAAAGGUUAUCACAAGGCCAACAUCUAUAAAUCAGACGUCUUUUCCCCCUAAGGCAGCAGUUCUCAAAAUUUUAACACCUGUAAAAAUCACAGGGAGGGCUUAUUAAAACGCUGACUGUGGCCCCCCAUCCCCCGAGUUUGGAUUCAGGAGUUGGGGGAGGGACCAGAAUUUGCUUUUCAAACAAGUUUCUCAAGUAAUGCUGAUGCUUCUGACCCAGGGACGCCACUUGGAGAACAACUGACCCUAAAGAAACCUUCACACUGAUUCCGCACUCAGCUCUUCCUUACUUAAGAUGGAGCAACCUGCUCACCAUUAUCCUCUGGAGAAGGAUGAAGUCACACCAGAGUAAGAGAGGCACUUGAAAGCAGCAGCGGAACAACCCCUGGUUGGGGCGAGGGAAGUGGUUGGGGGAACAGUAACUCCGAC
This 435-nucleotide long non-coding RNA is filed under the name Sus scrofa (pig). Its description in RNAcentral is "lncRNA (ENSSSCG00025067101.1)". Lineage: Eukaryota; Metazoa; Chordata; Mammalia; Artiodactyla; Suidae. The record is from RNAcentral.